CCCUCUCAGAUAACAGCAACACAAAUUUUCCCACUGCUCAGGCCAAAGAAUGUGGAAUCACCCUUGCCUUUUCCCCUUCCUUCGCACCCAGCAUCCAGUCCUUCACAUGAUAUGAAAAAAAUUUGCCAACUCAUGCUCUAGAAGAAUCUUGCCAGCUGUGGAAGUGAUCUGGUAGCUUGGAAUUAAGUUCAACAGCUCAAUUCAACAGACAUUCACUGAACUGGACUGCGUACCAGAUGCCAGAGUUGGAAGUGAAGAAAGUAGGCAAGGAGAGACAUUUGUCAUUUCAUGAAGAGCCGCAGUAGUGCUCUGGGAGGCAAGUUACUAAAACCUGACCAACCUGCGAGAAAGCAUUUUUGAGCUGCAUGCUAGAAGGAGACAAAAACUGGACAUGAGGAAAUAUGGAAGACGUCCGUGUAUUUCUAUAAAAUACAUCUUG
Long non-coding RNA from Mirounga angustirostris (Northern elephant seal), 439 nucleotides. RefSeq lists it as uncharacterized. Lineage: Eukaryota; Metazoa; Chordata; Mammalia; Carnivora; Phocidae. The record is from RefSeq and is a predicted model, not a curated record. The transcript is spliced from 3 exons.